UCGGUUCUGCGCGGCUCGCCACCGAUUUACGAUGAUUGAGCCAACGCCGUAGAAAAGGGAGACCGACGCCGACGCCAGUGCAGUCCCUCAUCGUCAGGGAAUUGCCGGAGGCGGCGGCUUUGACCGAGAGGUUAGGUCGCCCACCUGUUAGCGCAGGUUCAAUUACGGCUUCGGAGCGGCCAGCGCGGUUCUCCC
This 195-nucleotide non-coding RNA is filed under the name Acidobacteriota bacterium. RNAcentral describes it as "6S RNA". It matches the Rfam family "6S / SsrS RNA". From Rfam's summary of the family: E. coli 6S RNA was the first non coding RNA to be sequenced, but its function was unknown until recently. Lineage: Bacteria; Pseudomonadati; Acidobacteriota. The record is from RNAcentral.